UACGUAGGUGGCGAGCGUUGUCCGGAAUUACUGGGUGUAAAGGGCGUGUAGGCGGGUCUGCAAGUCAGAUGUGAAAUUCCGGGGCUUAACCCCGGCGCUGCAUUUGAAACUGCGGGUCUUGAGUAUCGGAGAGGGAAGUGGAAUUCCUAGUGUAGCGGUGAAAUGCGUAGAUAUUAGGAGGAACACCAGUGGCGAAGGCGACUUUCUGGACGAUAACUGACGCUGAGGCGCGAAAGCGUGGGGAGCAAAC
This 250-nucleotide ribosomal RNA is filed under the name uncultured bacterium. RNAcentral describes it as "partial 16S ribosomal RNA". It matches the Rfam family "Bacterial small subunit ribosomal RNA", at positions 524 to 773 of the family's 1533-position model. The record is from RNAcentral.